RNAcentral lists this unclassified non-coding RNA (372 nucleotides) under uncultured Gammaproteobacteria bacterium. RNAcentral describes it as "contains 16S-23S intergenic spacer region". The record is from RNAcentral. Lineage: Bacteria; Pseudomonadati; Pseudomonadota; Gammaproteobacteria.
UCCGGUUUGUCACCGGCAGUCUCAUUAGAGUGCCCUUGCGUAGCAACUAAUGAUAAGGGUUGCGCUCGUUGCGGGACUUAACCCAACAUCUCACGACACGAGCUGACGACAGCCAUGCAGCACCUGUGUUCUGGUUCCCGAAGGCACUCCUCUAUCUCUAAAGGAUUCCAGACAUGUCAAGGGUAGGUAAGGUUUUUCGCGUUGCAUCGAAUUAAUCCACAUCAUCCACCGCUUGUGCGGGUCCCCGUCAAUUCCUUUGAGUUUUAAUCUUGCGACCGUACUCCCCAGGCGGAUCACUUCACGCGUUAGCUACGUUACUCAAGAAGUCACCUUCCCGAACAACUAGUGAUCAUCGUUUAGGGCGUGGACUAC